GAUGAACGCUGGCGGCGUGCCUAAUACAUGCAAGUCGAGCGAACCAAAGAGAGCUUGCUCUCUGAGGUUAGCGGCGGACGGGUGAGUAACACGUGGGUAACCUGCCUGUAAGACGGGGAUAACUUCGGGAAACCGAAGCUAAUACCGGAUGAUAAAGAGAAACGCCUGUUUCUUUUUUGAAGGUCGGCCUUGUGCUGACGCUUACAGAUGGGCCCGCGGCGCAUUAGCUAGUUGGUGAGGUAACGGCUCACCAAGGCGACGAUGCGUAGCCGAGCUGCGAGGGUGAUCGGCCACACUGGGACUGAGACACGGCCCAGACUCCUACGGGAGGCAGCAGUAGGGAAUCUUCGGCAAUGGACGAAAGUCUGACCGAGCAACGCCGCGUGAGCGAUGAAGGCCUUCGGGUCGUAAAGCUCUGUUGUCAGAGAAGAACAAGUACCGGAGUAACUGCCGGUACCUUGACGGUACCUGACCAGAAAGCCACGGCUAACUACGUGCCAGCAGCCGCAGUAA
This 513-nucleotide ribosomal RNA is filed under the name uncultured bacterium. Its description in RNAcentral is "partial 16S ribosomal RNA". It matches the Rfam family "Bacterial small subunit ribosomal RNA", at positions 28 to 523 of the family's 1533-position model. The record is from RNAcentral.